GUGGGGAAUAUUGGACAAUGGGCGAAAGCCUGAUCCAGCCAUGCCGCGUGUGUGAAGAAGGUCUUCGGAUUGUAAAGCACUUUAAGUUGGGAGGAAGGGUAGUAACCUAAUACGUUGCUACUUUGACGUUACCGACAGAAUAAGCACCGGCUAACUUCGUGCCAGCAGCCGCGGUAAUACGAAGGGUGCAAGCGUUAAUCGGAAUUACUGGGCGUAAAGCGCGCGUAGGUGGUUCAGUAAGUUGGAAGUGAAAUCCCCGGGCUCAACCUGGGAACUGCUUUCAAAACUGCUGAGCUAGAGUACGGUAGAGGGUGGUGGAAUUUCCUGUGUAGCGGUGAAAUGCGUAGAUGUAGGAAGGAACACCAGUGGCGAAGGCGACCACCUGGACUGAUACUGACACUGAGGUGCGAAAGCGUGGGGAGCAAACAGGAUUAGAUACCCCUGUAGUCC
RNAcentral lists this ribosomal RNA (450 nucleotides) under uncultured bacterium. Its description in RNAcentral is "partial 16S ribosomal RNA". It matches the Rfam family "Bacterial small subunit ribosomal RNA", at positions 354 to 796 of the family's 1533-position model. The record is from RNAcentral.